UACGUAGGGGGCGAGCGUUGUCCGGAUUCAUUGGGCGUAAAGAGCUCGUAGGCGGCUUGGUAAGUCGGGUGUGAAACCUCCAGGCUCAACCUGGAGACGCCACUCGAUACUGCCAUGGCUAGAGUCCGGUAGGGGCCCACGGAAUUCCUGGUGUAGCGGUGAAAUGCGCAGAUAUCAGGAGGAACACCGAUGGCGAAGGCAGGUCUCUGGGCUGACACUGACGCUCAUGCACGAAAGCGUGGGGAGCAAACAGG
RNAcentral lists this ribosomal RNA (254 nucleotides) under uncultured bacterium. RNAcentral's name for it is "partial 16S ribosomal RNA". It matches the Rfam family "Bacterial small subunit ribosomal RNA", at positions 524 to 776 of the family's 1533-position model. The record is from RNAcentral.